Ovis aries (sheep) is the source of this 72-nucleotide transfer RNA. It matches the Rfam family "tRNA". Rfam says of the family: Transfer RNA (tRNA) molecules are approximately 80 nucleotides in length. Their secondary structure includes four short double-helical elements and three loops (D, anti-codon, and T loops). Lineage: Eukaryota; Metazoa; Chordata; Mammalia; Artiodactyla; Bovidae. The record is from Rfam.
UCCCUGGUAGCUCAGAGGUUAGAGAGUCUGCCUGCAAUGCGGGAGACCCAGGUUCAAUCCCUGGGUUGGGAA